This 445-nucleotide ribosomal RNA is filed under the name uncultured bacterium. RNAcentral's name for it is "bacterial SSU rRNA". It matches the Rfam family "Bacterial small subunit ribosomal RNA", at positions 331 to 793 of the family's 1533-position model. The record is from RNAcentral.
CCAGACUCCUACGGGAGGCAGCAGUGGGGGAUAUUGCACAAUGGGGGAAACCCUGAUGCAGCAACGCCGCGUGAGUGAAGAAGUAUUUCGGUAUGUAAAGCUCUAUCAGCAGGGAAGAGAAUGACGGUACCUGACUAAGAAGCCCCGGCUAACUACGUGCCAGCAGCCGCGGUAAUACGUAGGGGGCGAGCGUUAUCCGGAUUUACUGGGUGUAAAGGGAGCGUAGACGGCUGGUCAAGUCUGAAGUGAAAGCCCGGGGCUUAACCCCGGAACGGCUUUGGAAACUGAGCAGCUAGAGUGCUGGAGAGGUAAGCGGAAUUCCUAGUGUAGCGGUGAAAUGCGUAGAUAUUAGGAGGAACACCAGUGGCGAAGGCGGCUUACUGGACAGUAACUGACGUUGAGGCUCGAAAGCGUGGGGAGCAAACAGGAUUAGAUACCCGUGUAC